Molecule: long non-coding RNA, 690 nt
Organism: Coregonus clupeaformis (lake whitefish)
Lineage: Eukaryota; Metazoa; Chordata; Actinopteri; Salmoniformes; Salmonidae
Exons: 3
Source: RefSeq, a predicted model, not a curated record
CGACCCCUUACUCUAAUCAGAGAACCAAGGUUACAUCCGUAAACAAACGUUUUCGCGACACAGACAUUGUUUUUAUCCAUACAAUGCCUCCUGUGAAAACAUUUACCGGUGAAAGGGCCAGCCCUGACCCUACCUUUCUCCCUCAAGCAACCCCAACCAAUCAACCCGAACCCCCACUCUGGCCUAUCCAUGUCAUCCUGCUUUUCGCCUCCCCUCAGGAUACUCUACCCACCCCAACCCCUCAGAAACCUGCCAACCCCCACCACACCUUCUCCCCACAAUCAACCCCCAACCACUACUCCGGCCUUUCCAAGACACCCCGCUCUUCUCCUCUUCUCUGAAUACUCUACCCACCCCAGCCUCUCAGAACCCUGCCAGCCCCGCGCCCCGCUCCACAAAACCCUGCCACAGUCCCUGCACAUCAGAGGACACAUUUUAGGGACCUGUAAAGUGUUCUUCCCCUUGGUUUUGGGCACCGUAAGAAAACGUAUAGGCUAUAUUAUUUUUAAAGCAAAUUAGUCUAUGCCCGUGGAGCAUAUAAAGGGGUAUAUAAGCUCUGAAUGACGAGUGUUAGCCCGCCGGAAUCCUUCAAAAAACGUUUGAGCCACUCCAGCUGGACAGAUGAGGAUGUUCUUUACAUUUACAUUUUAGUCAUUUAGCAGACGCUCUUAUCCAGAGCGACUUACAGUU